RNAcentral lists this ribosomal RNA (472 nucleotides) under Streptococcus constellatus. RNAcentral describes it as "bacterial SSU rRNA". It matches the Rfam family "Bacterial small subunit ribosomal RNA", at positions 28 to 474 of the family's 1533-position model. Lineage: Bacteria; Bacillati; Bacillota; Bacilli; Lactobacillales; Streptococcaceae. The record is from RNAcentral.
GACGAACGCUGGCGGCGUGCCUAAUACAUGCAAGUAGAACGCACAGGAUGCACCGUAGCUUACUACACCGUAUUCUGUGAGUUGCGAACGGGUGAGUAACGCGUAGGUAACCUGCCUGGUAGCGGGGGAUAACUAUUGGAAACGAUAGCUAAUACCGCAUAAGAACAUUUACUGCAUGGUAGAUGUUUAAAAGGUGCAAGAGCAUCACUACCAGAUGGACCUGCGUUGUAUUAGCUAGUUGGUGAGGUAACGGCUCACCAAGGCAACGAUACAUAGCCGACCUGAGAGGGUGAUCGGCCACACUGGGACUGAGACACGGCCCAGACUCCUACGGGAGGCAGCAGUAGGGAAUCUUCGGCGAUGGGGGGAACCCUGACCGAGCAACGCCGCGUGAGUGAAGAAGGUUUUCGGAUCGUAAAGCUCUGUUGUUAAGGAAGAACGUGUGUGAGAGUGGAAAGUUCACACAGUGACG